RNAcentral lists this long non-coding RNA (1061 nucleotides) under Mus musculus (house mouse). Its description in RNAcentral is "predicted gene, 31223". Lineage: Eukaryota; Metazoa; Chordata; Mammalia; Rodentia; Muridae. The record is from RNAcentral.
GAGAGAGAGAGAGAGAGCCCCUUUGCAGCUGACCAUGCUACCCAGAUGUUUCUACAUAAUGACAUCUCCUAGAGCCUGAAACAGGAAAUACCACUUCCAGGCAGAUAAGUUCUCAUCCUUCCCAGACCCUCCCAGCCAGCUUAUCUCCCUUCUCUUCCUUCUAUUCCAUUUUUGUCCCCCAAGCCAUCAGGUUCUAAGUGAUGGGAUUCUUGUUUCCUUUCUUGUCCAAUUAAAAUAUUUCUUGUCAUUUCCUUAACUUUCUCAAAAUAAAUGUUCGCCUUUCCAUUUCCUGAAGUCUAAGAUUAUGAGUGGGCACUGGAAGAAAGAAACCUACUUACAGACAGAGAACACACAGGAAGCCAUUUGGGAAGUACUGGUGGGUGCACUCUGAGCUGAUGCUGGCAGCCAGUGUUCUCAGGUUUCUCUGGGCUUUCUCAUUAAAGAAACUCUAUAGCACUUCUUUGUGAAAUGGCAGACUGGAAAUUAAUAUUAAUAUACCCUCUAAGGGUAUGGUGCUUUGGUGAUUAGGGUUAUUAUUUAUGGAAGCAGGGUGUAUCAACUUCAUCCUGAGUUCUGAGGACCCACACCUCAAACCUGCUGUAUGUAAAUGGACGUUUAUAGCUUUAUGUAACAAUGCAAUUCCACUGUAGUACUUGCUUACAAGUCUGCAUCAUCUUUAGAUUGAUAUGAACGCUGGUAAAUCUUUGCUGCUUCCCCUAUAGUUCUUCCUCUGUGCCCCAGCAGUUGGCGCAGCACUUCACACAAGUACACAUUGACAUCUGUACUUGUUCCCUCUCCAGCUUCACAUCUGUCUGCAGGCCACCAUGCUUCCCACCGUGAUGAAAUGGACUAAACUUCUGAACUAAAGAGAAGCGAUGUGACUAGCCGGGUGUGUGGUUACCCAGUUUUUCUUCUUUUCUGCUGGUAACAAAGGGAUCACAGCGAGCCAGUCUGGAGAAUACUGAUGAGGACAAAAGUCUUGAGGUAAUGGAGCAAGAAGAAGGAAGCUGGGUCUCCAAUGACCUCAUGGAACUAAGUGUCUCACGAAUCUAGACUUCUUG